AAUGGACGAAAGUCUGACGGAGCGACGCCGCGUGGUAGAUGAAGUCCUUAGGGACGUAAAUACCGUUUAUGAGGGAAGAAGUUUAUUGACAUUACCUCAUGAAUAAGGGGCUCCCAAUUCUGUGCCAGCAGGAGCGGUAAUACAGAAGCCUCAAGCGUUACCCGGAUUUACUGGGCUAAAGGGUGUGUAGGUGGUGCGAUUAGUCUUGUGUUAAAUCUUCGGGCUCAACCCGGAACUCGCGCAGGAAACGGUCGCACUAGAGGAAGUGAGAGGCGUGUGGAACUCAUGGUGUAGGGGUGAAAUCCGUUGAUAUCAUGGGGAACACCAAAAAGCGAAGGCAACACACUGGCACUCUCCUGACACUGAAACACGAAAGCGUGGGUAGCGAAUCGGAUUAGAUACCCGAGUAGUCCACGCCCUAAACGUUGUCCGCUAGCUAUAGGGAGUAUCGACCCUCUCUGUGGCGUAGCUAACGCAUUAAGCGGACCGCCUGGGUAGUACGAGCGCAAGCUUA
RNAcentral lists this ribosomal RNA (514 nucleotides) under uncultured Parcubacteria group bacterium. RNAcentral's name for it is "bacterial SSU rRNA". It matches the Rfam family "Bacterial small subunit ribosomal RNA", at positions 370 to 896 of the family's 1533-position model. The record is from RNAcentral.